GCUGGGCGUGGUGGCGUGCGCCUGUAAUCCCAGCUACUCAGGAGGCUGAGGCAGGAGAAUUGCUUGAACCCAGAGGGCGGAAGUUGCAGUGAGCCGGGAUCGUGGCACUGCACUUCCGCCUGGGUGAUAGAGCAACACUCCGUCUCAA
This 148-nucleotide signal recognition particle RNA is filed under the name Nomascus leucogenys (northern white-cheeked gibbon). Its description in RNAcentral is "Metazoan signal recognition particle RNA". It matches the Rfam family "Metazoan signal recognition particle RNA". Rfam says of the family: The signal recognition particle (SRP) is a universally conserved ribonucleoprotein. The record is from Rfam by way of RNAcentral. Lineage: Eukaryota; Metazoa; Chordata; Mammalia; Primates; Hylobatidae.